AUUACCGAUUGGGUGUAUAGGUGAACCUUCUCGAUAGCCGCAAGGCUAGAAAUUAAGUAAACCUUUGCACCUAGAGGAAAUAAAAGUCGUAACAAGGUU
This 99-nucleotide ribosomal RNA is filed under the name Epistylis wuhanensis. Its description in RNAcentral is "partial small subunit ribosomal RNA". It matches the Rfam family "Eukaryotic small subunit ribosomal RNA", at positions 1681 to 1801 of the family's 1831-position model. The record is from RNAcentral. Lineage: Eukaryota; Ciliophora; Oligohymenophorea; Sessilida; Epistylidae.